RNAcentral lists this ribosomal RNA (253 nucleotides) under uncultured prokaryote. Its description in RNAcentral is "partial 16S ribosomal RNA". It matches the Rfam family "Bacterial small subunit ribosomal RNA", at positions 524 to 776 of the family's 1533-position model. The record is from RNAcentral.
UACGGAGGAUGCAAGCGUUAUCCGGAAUCAUUGGGUUUAAAGGGUCCGUAGGCGGGCCAAUAAGUCAGGGGUGAAAGUCUGCGGCUCAACCGUAGAAUUGCCUUUGAUACUGUUGGUCUUGAAUAUGUAGGAAGUGGCUGGAAUGAGUAGUGUAGCGGUGAAAUGCAUAGAUAUUACUCAGAACACCAAUUGCGAAGGCAGGUCACUACUACAUUAUUGACGCUGAUGGACGAAAGCGUGGGGAGCGAACAGG